GCGUCUGUCUACAAUGCAGGAGACCUGGAUUCCAUCCCUGGGUUGGGAAGAUCGGCUGGAGAAGGAAAUGGCAAUCCACUCUAGUACUACUGACUGGAAAAUCCCACUGACAGAGGAGCCUGAUCCUCUGUAUUGCAACGGAUGAAGAUGAGCCCUGGGCGGCCUUUGUCAACGGAUGAAGAUGAGCCCUGGGCGGCCUUUGUCAACGGAUGAAGAUGAGCCCUGGGCGGCCUUUGUCAAUGGAUGAAGAUGAGCCCUGGGCGGCCGUUGUGGAGACGGUCAUCACUGUGACUGUUUUUGCGCUGGUUGUUGUGGUUGUUGGCACCUGUAUUCAUCCCCUCACCCGUUCCUGGAUGAACAGCCCAGAAGUGGAUUUGGAUUUUUGAUUUGAAACGCCAAAUGGGCGAAUAAAAUAUAACUCUCACCCACUCACGUUGUCUCUCAGAAUAAAUUGUAACAUGCAAGUUUCAAUUAAGUUUCUUGUGACCUCAUGUUGACUAAAUAUAAGGGUUUUCUUUUCCCAACGUUAGCGGGUCAUAUGUAGUCAGUCUUUGUCCUUCAGAUGGUUGUGUGCACUUUAUUGGAGGGAUUUCUAUUUUGUUGACUGUGUUGCAAUGCCCCUCCCACCCCCACCUACUCCAGCAGCCUGUAGAGCAGACAGGAGUCUGCACGGAGUCCUUUUUGCCCUGGAUUUCUUGUGCUCUUGAUCUGGUGUUCCUCUUAAUACCUCAUCUCCUUCCUUUUCAACUUAAUUAAUCCUCCAUCUCUUGCCUCAUAGUCCCUGUGUCCUUCCUCUUAUUCCUGUGGGGUCACAUGGUGAAAGCCUAGCUGUUACCAUGGCUCCAAGCUGUGCUUUCUCUC
Long non-coding RNA from Bos taurus (domestic cattle), 861 nucleotides. The record is from Ensembl. Lineage: Eukaryota; Metazoa; Chordata; Mammalia; Artiodactyla; Bovidae.